UACGGGAGGCAGCAGUGAGGAAUAUUGGUCAAUGGGCGCAAGCCUGAUGCAGCAACGCCGCGUGAACGAAGAAGGCCUUUGGGUCGUAAAGUUCUGUUCUGAGGGAAGAAGAAAGUGACGGUACCUCAGGAGAAAGCCCCGGCUAACUACGUGCCAGCAGCCGCGGUAAU
Molecule: ribosomal RNA, 170 nt
Filed under: uncultured rumen bacterium
Lineage: Bacteria
Description: partial 16S ribosomal RNA
Rfam family: Bacterial small subunit ribosomal RNA
Source: RNAcentral